GCCGAUAUAGCUCAGUUGGUAGAGCAGCGCAUUCGUAACGCGAAGGUCGUAGGUUCGACUCCUAUUAUCGGCACCA
RNAcentral lists this transfer RNA (76 nucleotides) under Escherichia coli. Its description in RNAcentral is "tRNA-Thr". It matches the Rfam family "tRNA". From Rfam's summary of the family: Transfer RNA (tRNA) molecules are approximately 80 nucleotides in length. Their secondary structure includes four short double-helical elements and three loops (D, anti-codon, and T loops). RNAcentral also lists the same sequence under 1 other name. The record is from RNAcentral. Lineage: Bacteria; Pseudomonadati; Pseudomonadota; Gammaproteobacteria; Enterobacterales; Enterobacteriaceae.